GAUCUGGCUCAGGAUGAACGCUAGCUACAGGCUUAACACAUGCAAGUCGAGGGGCAGCAUGGUCUUAGCUUGCUAAGGCCGAUGGCGACCGGCGCACGGGUGAGUAACACGUAUCCAACCUGCCGUCUACUCUUGGACAGCCUUCUGAAAGGAAGAUUAAUACAAGAUGGCAUCAUGAGUUCACAUGUUCACAUGAUUAAAGGUAUUCCGGUAGACGAUGGGGA
This 224-nucleotide ribosomal RNA is filed under the name uncultured bacterium. RNAcentral describes it as "partial 16S ribosomal RNA". It matches the Rfam family "Bacterial small subunit ribosomal RNA", at positions 15 to 231 of the family's 1533-position model. The record is from RNAcentral.